Molecule: long non-coding RNA, 1417 nt
Organism: Helianthus annuus (common sunflower)
Lineage: Eukaryota; Viridiplantae; Streptophyta; Magnoliopsida; Asterales; Asteraceae
Exons: 4
Source: RefSeq, a predicted model, not a curated record
AAUUAGGUUUUUUAUUUACAGAAUCCUCCCAACCCUUUUCCUACCUUCAGCGGCCGAUGUGAAGAAAAUCCUCCCACCCACUGUAUUCGAUCUUAUUUUUUUCAACUAUCAACGCAUUCUCCCACCGUAUUCGAUUCUCAACCAUCAACACCAGAAGAAUCCUAAACGAUGUUGCCCCUAUUUGUCUUCUAUCUUGAAGAUUCGGAUUGAUAAAAACAAAAAUUGAAGAUUUGGAUUGGAUUUUUUCGUGAUGAUGAUGAAUCAAAGAUCCAGACUAAACCCUAAUUUUAAGAUUCGGAUUGUAUUUGUUCGUGACGAUGAUGAACCGAGGAUGAUUUCAGACUAUUUGAUUGAGCCCUUUUUCUCUCCUCAUUGACUUUCGGUUUUUCAAGGAUGCUAAUGAGCCCAUGUUUGUGAUCUAAAAGCUUACAACACCUUUAAAUAGACCAAGACCGUGGUCCUUGUCCGGCUUAUUCGUUCUCAAACUGUGUUAUACUUUGUGAUGUCAAGUCUAAAACUGUGUCCGUAUCACUCGUAUCACUUGGUGCAGAUGGGGAAGUGAAGCUCUUCUUGGGCAUAGCAGAUCAUGGCUAUUAGAGAUUAAAUCCAGAAUCUCAGGCAAAAGACCAAGGCUAAGGAUGAGAUUCGACUUUUUGUUUUUUCUUCUUCUAAAGUAAGCUACUGCAUCUUCUUAGAAUUAAAAGUGUAAACCGGCAUCUAGGUUGCCCCAUAAAGUUAACGCAAUUGUCAAGAACCUAAAGCCCAGUUUUCGUAAGUUCCGAAACUCGGUUUGUUUUGGUAUGCCUUACAUCCGAGAAUUAGUUCUUUUAAAUUGGUAUAAAAUUUCCAUUUUGGUCAGUUAUAACCGAGUAAAUGUACAAAAUGAUUGUUAAAAAUCUAAUCAUAUAUCUCGUCUUACAUGUGGGAUAUUACAAGAUUUUGUAUUAUUAUUAUUAUUAAAACUUAAAAAGCACAUGUGUUAAAUGUUAAUAGUUGAAACAUGAUUUUAUCAUAUUUUUUUUUUUGUUGCAGGGGAUGUUGCUAACCAGAGCAGUAUGUUAAUUCUACAAGAGACGCGAAUUGAUUUAGCGGGGUCCUUGGGUGGUGUAUGAGCUGGUGGAUAACCUAGCAAGGCAUGUGGUGAUGAAUGUGGGUGAUUCGGCUUAUGUGGGUCUUUUGUCGUCGGGGUUUGAGAUAAUCCUUGACGGGCCGGUAAUCGCGUUGUGUCGGAUACAGAGAAUGGUGGGGUGGGUGGUGGCGCGGCGAGUGAAUCUCUUUUGACUGUUGCAUUUUAGAUCCUUAUUAAUAAUUUAUGUCUUUUGCUACUAUAUUUCAACAAUAGUUUUGCAUUUAUGAACUUUGAUAUAUUUUGUGUUCUUUAUGCUUUUAGAAAUAUAUUUUGUAUUCUUUAUGCUUU